RNAcentral lists this ribosomal RNA (846 nucleotides) under Candidatus Phytoplasma vitis. RNAcentral describes it as "bacterial SSU rRNA". It matches the Rfam family "Bacterial small subunit ribosomal RNA", at positions 153 to 995 of the family's 1533-position model. The record is from RNAcentral. Lineage: Bacteria; Bacillati; Mycoplasmatota; Mollicutes; Acholeplasmatales; Acholeplasmataceae.
GAAACGACUGCUAAGACUGGAUAGGAAACAGAGAGGCAUCUUUUUGUUUUUAAAAGACCUUCUUCGGAGGGUAUGCUUAAAGAGGGGCUUGCGCCACAUUAGUUAGUUGGUGAGGUAAAGGCUUACCAAGAUUAUGAUGUGUAGCUGGACUGAGAGGUUGAACAGCCACAUUGGGACUGAGACACGGCCCAAACUCCUACGGGAGGCAGCAGUAGGGAAUUUUCGGCAAUGGAGGAAACUCUGACCGAGCGACGCCGCGUGAACGAUGAAGUAUUUCGGUAUGUAAAGUUCUUUUAUUGAAGAAGAAAAAAUAGUGGAAAAACUAUCUUGACGUUAUUCAAUGAAUAAGCCCCGGCUAACUAUGUGCCAGCAGCCGCGGUAAGACAUAGGGGGCGAGCGUUAUCCGGAAUUAUUGGGCGUAAAGGGUGCGUAGGCGGUUAGAUAAGUCUAUAAUUUAAUUUCAGUGCUUAACGCUGUCUUGUUAUAGAAACUGUCUUGACUAGAGUGAGAUAGGGGCAAGCGGAAUUCCAUGUGUAGCGGUAAAAUGUGUAAAUAUAUGGAGGAACACCAGAAGCGUAGGGCGGCUUGCUGGGUCUUUACUGACGCUGAGGCACGAAAGCGUGGGGAGCAAACAGGAUUAGAUACCCUGGUAGUCCACGCUGUAAACGAUGAGUACUAAGUGUCGGGGUAACUCGGUACUGAAGUUAACACAUUAAGUACUCCGCCUGAGUAGUACGUACGCAAGUAUGAAACUUAAAGGAAUUGACGGGACUCGCACAAGCGGUGGAUCAUGUGUUUAAUUCGAAGAUACACGAAGAACCUUACCAGGUCUUGACAUACUCUGCG